UUCGAACUCAUUCUUAUAAAAAAAUAUAGACUUAAAUGCAUUUUUGGUUCCUCAACUAUUUAUUUGGUAUCGCUUUGGUCCCUUAACUAAAAAAAAGAUUGUUUGAGUACUUUAUCUUUAUUCCGUUACCUAUUUUGGUCCAUUCUGUUAAAAAAAUUGAAAAAAUCGUUAGGGUUUAUAUUAUUCCUUCUCCUUCGGUCAUCUUUUUCAUGAUCUUCAUCAUCAACAACACACACCAACCCAAAAAAAAAAAAAUCAUCAUCAUCUUCAUCAAAUCUAUAAACAUAAUCAAUUUCAUAACUCAAUCAAUAACCAAUUUUUCCAUUAAAAAAACAUCCCUUUCAAUCAAAACAACACAAUUUCUCAAUCUUCCUAAACCAAAUCAACCAAAAUCUUUAUAUCUAAUCACUACAAUUUUUUUUAAAAUCCAAAACUACUCUCCACCACCACCUGGGCACUACUCACCUUUGCUUCAUUUCCUGCUAAUAUCUCCUCCCUAAUUCUUCCCACACCCCCAACCAACUACUCACUCUUCUAACAAACUCCUCCCUAUAGGACUCUCCGCUACUGUCGUUGUUGUUGUCGUUGGCAGAAGCAACAAAUCAAGCUCAAUUUUCAUGUUCCUCUUCUUCUUUCCUCUUCUUCUUUUGGCUCGUAGGAGCAGUCUCAUUCGAUGAGUCUCUCACCACCGACGAGUUCUAGUCCCCGAAGAACACAAAACAAAAAUCACCACAAGCCUCACCAAGUCACAACCAGAGAGAGAUUUUGAUGAAGAUGUAUACAUCCUUCUAACUCCACUCGACCUCUCUCCCUCUAUCAAUUCCUCUUUACUCGACCCCAGCCAAAUCUAAGAAAUUGCAGUAAUGGGUCAAGUAGUAGAAGGAGAAAGAAGAAAGGUUAUUUGCGGAGAUCUAUGGAUCUUAAGAUUGAACAGUUGAAAGCUUAAAUUAUACGAUUGGAUGAGUAGUAUAAGGUGAGGAUAUUAAUUCAUUGAUAUCUUUAGAAAAUUGUUGUUAUGUCUAGUUGUUGUGGUGUUGGAUUUGGAUUUGUUGUGGGCGAGUUGACUCAGUGAGUUGGUUGAUAUCUUUAGAGAAGCACAGCGGUUGUUGUUAUGUCUAGUUGUUGUGGUUUUGGAUUUGGAUUUAGAAAAAAAAAUUUGUUUGGUAAAUUAAAGUGCUUUUUUUUAGUGAACAAAUUGGUUGUUGAUUGAGUUAUGAAAUUGAUUUUGUUUAUAGAUUUGAUGAUAAUGAAUUUUUAUUUUUUUUGGGUUGGUGUGUUGUUGAUGAUGAAAAUCAUGAAGAAGAUGAUGGAAGGAGAAGGAAGAAGAUGAAUAAUAUAAUUCCUAACGGUUUUUUUAUUUUUUUUUAACGGAAGGGACAAAAACAAGUAACUGAGAUAAAGAUAAAGUACUCAAACAAUUUUCUUUUUUUAGUUAAGGGAUCAAAGCGAUAUCAAAUAAAUAGUUAAGGGAUCAAAAGCGCAUUUAAGCCAAAAAUAUAUUAAUAAAGUUCUACAAAUUAAAUUUAAUAAUUGAUUUAUAUUCAAUAUAAUAUUUACUCCAAACAAAUACGAACUAUAUAUUAAUAUUUCUCAAUUGAAGAAAAAUUAAUUGAAUCAUAUCAUUGAUUGAUAUUUUAAUUUACAUUUUAUGAGCAUCAGAGUUUUUUUUUUUUUUUUUUUUUUGUGAACUAGAUAUUUUUGCGCACAAAUAUAGAUAUUUAAUCACUGAGGUAGAUAAAAUUUUAAGAUUGAGACAUUUGAUUUUGUCAAGUAACAUAAUGCUUAAAAAUUCACCUUUUAAGAUGAAACCAACAAUAAUCUUUUUUUUCCUUUCUCUCCUGUGAGCUGUUACUAAAACUUUAGUUUUUUUCUCUUUCAUCCAUCAAAGAGGGAUGAUUUAGGAUUUUUGAUCCAAAAUCACCUCUCUAACUCGUUUUUCUUUUUCCCUUUUAUUGAAAUAAGUUCACAUCUAUUUUGUUUUUUAUUUUGUGAUUUUGUCGUCUUCGUACGACAUUGGUUUGUUCGUCGUCUUUGUGCGACGUUGUUUGUUUUCAAUAUUGAUUAUAGGGUUAAUUAAGUUUUUAGUCCCUAUAAAUAUUCACAGUUUUGUUUUUAGUCCUUAUAAAAUAAAAUCACACUUUUUAGUCCCUGUGACAUUUUCCUUAAGCAUUUUAGGGACUAAAAAUGCUGAUGGAAAAAUUUUAUAGGGACUAAAAAUGCUUAUGAAAAAUUUUAUAAGGACUAAAAAUAUUGAUGGAAAAUUUUAUAAGGACUAAAAAGUGUGAUUUUAUUUUGUGGGGACUAAAAACAAAAUUCUGAAUAUUUAUAGGGACUAAAAACUUAAUUAACCCUUGAUUAUAUCAUAUGAGUAUGGGACUAAGGCCCCGUUUGGAUAAACAGCUUAUAUAGAUGCUUAUAAUAUUAGUGCUUAUAACAUUAGAGCUUAUAUCAUAAGCUCUUAUACUUGAUAAGUUAUUUAUGUUUGGAUAUGUACACUAAAAAGUACUUACAUAAAUUGAAGUGUUUGGAUGUGACAUUACAUAAGCAAUUAUCGAAAUUUUAAAUAUUUUUAACUUAACAAAAAAAUCCAAGAAUUGAACCACAAUUAUCAAGAUUUUUUUUGAUAAAAUUAAUCAAGGCGUAAAAAAACAAUAUUAUAACAUAUUAAAUAUAAUUAUAUAUAUAUAUAGUAUAAUCAAUUUGUCCUUAAAAAAAUAUCAAUAUUCAUAUAUGACAAAAUUAACAUUAGAGGUGUAAAUAAACAUAUCAUAUAUAUUGAUAUUAGUGUGCAGUUUGUUACCCAAAAAAGACAAGUUAAAUUUGUUUUUUUAUUCAGUUUCAUUUUGUUACGUAACAAAAAAAAAAAAAAAAUCUUAGUUACGUUUGUUACUUUAGUAAGAUAAGUAUAUAGCAAUUUUGUUACUGAUGCACCGCCAAAGAUAACUAACAUUAUAAUUAAAACAUUCCUUCAAAAAAAAUUAUAAUUAAAAUAUAUGUUUUGAAAAAGUGGAUCCAGAGAGAAUCGAAGGAGGUUACAUAAAUUCAUAAGCUCCUUGUUAAGCCAGAUGGUAAGCUGAAAAUUUAGGCUUAUUAAAAUAUGGCAUAAGUAGCUUAUGAAACUAUGAUAAGCUAUUUUUAUUUAUUUACCCAAACACCUUUAAAAAUGCUUAUGGGAGUAGAUAAGCCCACAUAAGCUCAAAAUAAGCCAAUCCAAACGGGGCCUAAACAGGAGAGAGUAGCAUAGCAUUACAUACGAAACCUAUGGUAUUUGUUUGACUGGCUAUAUAUGACAUGUAGGUCUCUUUGAUCUUUCACGAACAAGAAGGAAUGCACGAUACAUCGGAUAAGGGUUCCAUAUGAUGCGGAACAUAUACAUGAAAAUUAAUGAUAUCUCUGUAGUUCAUUUGUGCUUGACUAUUUUCAAUUUUUAUAGUGAAAUACAACUAUUGAGCUGUUCUCAGCUGAAGGAUGAAAUUUUAAAAUUAAAGGAUUGGACUAUUUAGUAUAUAUGCAAGUGGGUGGUGAGAUUGAUCCCCGUAUCAGUGGCGGAGAUAGGAAUUUAAUCGAGUUUGG
This 3573-nucleotide long non-coding RNA is filed under the name Medicago truncatula (barrel medic). RNAcentral's name for it is "long non-coding RNA (MTRU_LNC007929)". The record is from RNAcentral. Lineage: Eukaryota; Viridiplantae; Streptophyta; Magnoliopsida; Fabales; Fabaceae.